RNAcentral lists this ribosomal RNA (253 nucleotides) under uncultured bacterium. Its description in RNAcentral is "partial 16S ribosomal RNA". It matches the Rfam family "Bacterial small subunit ribosomal RNA", at positions 524 to 776 of the family's 1533-position model. The record is from RNAcentral.
UACAGAGGUCUCAAGCGUUGUUCGGAUUCAUUGGGCGUAAAGGGCGCGUAGGCGGCGCGGUAAGUCGGGUGUGAAAUCUCGGAGCUUAACUCCGAAACUGCAUUCGAUACUGCCGUGCUUGAGGACUGGAGAGGAGAGUGGAAUUCCUGGUGUAGCGGUGAAAUGCGUAGAUAUCGUAAGGAAGACCAGUGGCGAAGGCGGGUCUCUGGACAGUUCCUGACGCUGAGGCACGAAGGUCAGGGGAGCAAACGGG